Molecule: ribosomal RNA, 500 nt
Filed under: uncultured bacterium
Lineage: Bacteria
Description: partial 16S ribosomal RNA
Rfam family: Bacterial small subunit ribosomal RNA
Source: RNAcentral
GAUUAACGCUAGCGGCAGGCCUAAUACAUGCAAGUCGAACGGCAGCGGGUGUAGCAAUACAUGCCGGCGAGUGGCGCACGGGUGCGUAACGCGUAUGCAACUUACCUAUAACUGGGGAAUAGCUCUCGGAAACGGGAAUUAAUACCGCAUAAUAUCACGAUUAGGCAUCAUAUUGUUAUCAAAACUCCGGUGGUUAUAGAUAGGCAUGCGUGACAUUAGCUAGUUGGUGAGGUAACGGCUCACCAAGGCUACGAUGUCUAGGGGGUCUGAGAGGAUGAUCCACCAAACUGGUACUGAGACACGGACCAGACUCCUACGGGAGGCGGCAGUAAGGAAUAUUGGACAAUGGCCGCAAGGCUGAUCCAGCCAUGCCGCGUGCAGGAUGAAGGUGCUCUGCAUUGUAAACUGCUUUUGUUCGGGAAUAAACCCCUCUACGUGUAGAGGGCUGAAUGUACCGAAAGAAUAAGGGUCGGCUAACUUCGUGCCAGCCGCCGCAGUAA